GCCGGAAAUCGCGGGCGAAGGCGGCGGUUGCCGGAGUCGUGGGCGAGGUGGCCUGAGGAAGAAGAUGACAGGUGGGCCCCACCUGUCAGUGAGAGAGAGAAGAGUUGAAAGUGUAUUUCUCCGAGAAUACGCUUUCCCGCGGAGAAAGCGAAAUUCCGGAGAAAAAGAAAAAGAAUAAAAGAAAAUGAUUAUAAAACACUUUUCAAGAUCUAUAAUUCACCCGAAAUUCUAUUUAAAUCAUUUAAAAUAUCAAAUGGCUUCAGAAAUAUUCCCAAAAUUCUGUAAAAUAAUAUAUUUCAUUUAGAGUCCAGGAAAAUUAUUCCCACUUAAAAAUAGAUUAAUAAAAAUAUUUUUAAUGUUUUUAAGCUUUAAAUAAAUUAAAAUAAAAUCCAAUAAUGCAUUUUUAAAUUUUAGAAAAUUCUCAAAUCAAUUUCUAUCAACCUUACACAUUUCAAAACACCAUUUCCAACACUUUCAAUAAUGCAUCAUAACGAACACCAAAAUUUUAAGAUAUGAUCAAGGUGGUAUGCAUAAGAAAUGAAAAGGUGCGAACAUCCGAAAUAGAAAAUUUGGGAUGUUACAACGGAGUUCCUCCCUGUACGUAUGGAUACCUUGGAGGCGCUGCACCUGUGGCGCUUGGACGAACUACUCGUGGGAUCGACGAGACGGAGCAGGCCGAACGACUACUCGGCAUCGACACGCAUCAUCGACUCUACUUCCGCUACGGGUCUACGCGUGUAGUGAUAAUCUCGUGAUCCAUUAUCUACAGCAUUGAUCCGGGCGGAAUCGGUAGAAUUUUUAUUUUGUGCUAGCGUAGCCUACUGCAUUCCCCAACAGUGGUAUCAGAGCUGAUGCUGUCUAUUUUGGAUUCGGAUUACGUGCAUAAGUGUUAUGCGGUUAGUAGUAGAUGUGAUCUAUUGCUAUCUUGGUGGUCGAUCUAAGUGUUAGAUCGGUUUUGUACUCAAUCGAUUGAUCGAUUAUACUCGGGGAUCAUGGAUAUUCGAUUCUAAUAAUCGUGAUGCUGAUGGUCGUGACACAACAUACUCCUACCGGUUGGAUUUCCGCCAUCGGAGUAUAUAGUGAAACGUAAAUCCGGAUGCGAUGAUGUUGAAGGUCAUGUGUGACAUCCGAAUUUUUCUAAUUUGGAUGUUAUUACCUUUUCACGUCACAUGCAUAUCAUUUUGCCCAUAUUUGAGUUUGGAGAUGAUCUUACAAUUUAAUAGGGAGUUUAUUUGGACCUUAAAAGUGAUUAUAUGCAUUUGUUUGAAUUUUUUUGAGCUGCAUAUGCAUUAAAAAUAUUUUUCCUAACUUCCAAAUAGGUAUUUGAAAUUUUCAGGAAUUUUCAGAAAUUUUUUCGAUGCCGUUUGGUAUUUUAUUUGCCUUAUUUGAUUUUCUGGCAAUUUAGAAACCCAGAAAAGUUAUUUCUUUAUUUGUUUUUCUUUUUCUUCCGCUGAGUACAUUUUCUCUGCAUGAAGGCGUGUUCCCGUGAAACCCGUUUCCACUUAAGUCUACCGAAGGGGUGUCUUCUAAUCUCGUCCAUCCAUUCCCCAUCCAACGGCCAUCAUUCCUUUUUCAUUUUUUCUUUUUUCCUUUUUCCUUUUCCUUUUCUUUUUUUUUCUUUUCUCCUUUCUUCCUUCUUCCUCACGCAGGCACAACCAUAGCCUGUUCUGGCCGAACGCCAUGGCCAAGCUCCAGCCACCGCCC
RNAcentral lists this long non-coding RNA (1704 nucleotides) under Brachypodium distachyon (stiff brome). RNAcentral's name for it is "long non-coding RNA (BDIS_LNC003349)". Lineage: Eukaryota; Viridiplantae; Streptophyta; Magnoliopsida; Poales; Poaceae. The record is from RNAcentral.